This 403-nucleotide ribosomal RNA is filed under the name Brevundimonas sp. A1-5. RNAcentral's name for it is "bacterial SSU rRNA". It matches the Rfam family "Bacterial small subunit ribosomal RNA", at positions 26 to 456 of the family's 1533-position model. The record is from RNAcentral. Lineage: Bacteria; Pseudomonadati; Pseudomonadota; Alphaproteobacteria; Caulobacterales; Caulobacteraceae.
CGAGAGCGAACGCCGGCGGCAGGCCUAACACCUGCAAGUCGAACGGACCCUUCGGGGUUAGUGGCGGACGGGUGAGUAACACGUGGGAACGUGCCUUUAGGUUGGGAAUAGUUCCGGGAAAGGGGUGGUAAUGCGGAAUGUGCCCUUUGGGGGAAAGAUUUAUCGCCUUUAGAGCGGCCCGCGUGUGAUAAGCUAGUUGGUGAGGUAAUGGCUCACCAAGGCGACGAUCAGUAGCUGGUCUGAGAGGAUGACCAGCCACAUUGGGACUGAGACACGGCCCAAACUCCUACGGGAGGCAGCAGUGGGGAAUCUUGCGCAAUGGGCGAAAGCCUGACGCAGCCAUGCCGCGUGAAUGAUUAAGGUCUUAGGAUUGUAUAUUCUUUCACCGCGUACGAUAAAUGAC